AUGGGUCGACAGCAUGGCAAACGAGGAGGAACGUGCACGAAACAAACGGGCACGGUGCAAACAUAUCGUACAUCUCAUACAACACACAUUCAUACACGGGCGGUCGUCUCAUCGUUAUACCUUCGAAGCGUGCAUUUCGGGGCGGAUCGAGUUCGUCGAGGAAGUAGUCGUUCACGGGUCGUAGUGGAAGUAAUUGUACUCGUGUCAUCGUGGGAAGUAGUCGUACACGGCAUAGUGGAAGUAGUUGUUCACGUGGCGACGGUAGUUGUACACGUUUUCGUAGAUGUUCAGGUCGACGGUAGUGGUACACGCGACGUCGGGGUACUUGUCGGUCCGGUCUUGACGGUGUAG
This 351-nucleotide ribosomal RNA is filed under the name Triticum aestivum (bread wheat). RNAcentral's name for it is "partial small subunit ribosomal RNA". The record is from RNAcentral. Lineage: Eukaryota; Viridiplantae; Streptophyta; Magnoliopsida; Poales; Poaceae.